RNAcentral lists this ribosomal RNA (305 nucleotides) under uncultured bacterium. Its description in RNAcentral is "bacterial SSU rRNA". It matches the Rfam family "Bacterial small subunit ribosomal RNA", at positions 337 to 657 of the family's 1533-position model. The record is from RNAcentral.
GCCUACGGGGGGCAGCAGUGGGGAAUCUUGCACAAUGGGCGAAAGCCUGAUGCAGCAACGCCGCGUGAGCGAAGAAGGCCUUUGGGUCGUAAAGCUCUUUCCUAAGGGAAGAAGGAAGUGACGGUACCUUAGGAGGGAGCCCCGGCUAACUACGUGCCAGCAGCCGCGGUAAUACGUAGGGGGCAAGCGUUAUCCGGAUUUAUUGGGUUUAAAGGGUGCGUAGGCGGAAUGCCAAGUCAGCGGUAAAAUCGCGGGGCUCAACCUCGCUCCGCCGUUGAAACUGGCGUUCUUGAGUGGGCGAGAAG